AUUGAACGCUGGCGGCAGGCUUAACACAUGCAAGCCGAGCGGAGCGAGGGUGCUUGCACCUUAGCUUAGCGGCGGACGGGUGAGUAAUGCUUAGGAAUCUGCCUAUUAGUGGGGGACAACAUUCCGAAAGGGAUGCUAAUACCGCAUACGCCCUACGGGGGAAAGCAGGGGAUCUUCGGACCUUGCGCUAAUAGAUGAGCCUAAGUCGGAUUAGCUAGUUGGUGGGGUAAAGGCCUACCAAGGCGACGAUCUGUAGCGGGUCUGAGAGGAUGAUCCGCCACACUGGGACUGAGACACGGCCCAGACUCCUACGGGAGGCAGCAGUGGGGAAUAUUGGACAAUGGGCGGAAGCCUGAUCCAGCCAUGCCGCGUGUGUGAAGAAGGCCUUUUGGUUGUAAAGCACUUUAAGCGAGGAGGAGGCUACUAGUAUUAAUACUACUGGGUAGUGGACGUUACUCGCAGAAUAAGCACCGGCUAACUCUGUGCCAGCCGCCGCGGUAA
RNAcentral lists this ribosomal RNA (501 nucleotides) under uncultured bacterium. RNAcentral describes it as "partial 16S ribosomal RNA". It matches the Rfam family "Bacterial small subunit ribosomal RNA", at positions 30 to 523 of the family's 1533-position model. The record is from RNAcentral.